AUUAAAGUUAAUUAAUUCAUGUCCACUUAAGAAAAUUGCACAUAAAAAGAGGUCUUGGUUGAGUGAUUGUUUUACCCCAUGGCUCCUUUUAAACAUAUUUUAAAGUAACUGGUUUGGUCAUUUUCUCUGAAACCAAUGACCUUUAUAUCUCAAAUCAACAGAAUGAAUAAAUUAAACACAAAAGAGAAACAAAUUAGACUCUAAGUAUGUUGCUAUUGAUGAGUUUUCAAUUACAUAAAUUGUAUCUCAUUUUGAUGACUCGUAAGCUUCAGGGGGCUUCGCCCCUCGAACCUAGUACCAACAGGUGCUAAGACCAGGACCCGAUGGGGCCCUCAGACAACUUUCCAAGGUUCGGGCGUACACUUGAAAAUGGCUCAGCUACGCCAUUGAUUAUAAACUACUAGUCACUGUUCACAAAACUUUAAUUUUUUGAAAUAGUAACGCAUGUUUUCCUCAGGAAUAGAUUACCUUAUUUAGCUGUAAUGGUAAAAACAUUUAAAACUUUUUGGUCCUCAAUGCUCUUCAACUUCUUACUUUAUUUUUCUUGUUUAAUUCCGUUUAGUUCGAGCGUCACUGACGAGUCUUUUGUAGACGAAACGCACAUUUGGCGCAAAGAUAAACUUUCUAUCGUAGUGUCUUUGAUUAUUUGAUUGUGUCGUUUUUUAUUGGACUCAUGCUUUCACAAAUGCAAAAUGCUUAGUUUUAACUUAUAAAAUAGUCUGUGAUAAAGUUACUGUGAUGAAGAAAAGGAAACUGUGAUGAAGAAAAGGAAACUGUGAUGAAGAAAAGGAAACUGUGAUAAAAAACUGUAAUAAAAAACUGAUAAAAACUGUUAUAAAACACUGACAGUAGUCAAAAUUUUCUGCUGUGAUAUUUUGGUGCGCGAUAUACGUAUAUUCAUAUGGAAUUUCUAGGUAUUUAACAUGUGUUUAUAGUUGAUUGUAUUAUUGCAUUUUAGUUUAAACUGUUGUUAUUAAACAUUAUAGAACUAUCAAAUGUAUCUUUUUUUAUUUCUUCUGAAAGCAUGUCCAACCUAAAUUGUGGCAUGCAUAAUCAUUGUAGUCGGUGGAAAUCGUAUCAUCUUGCUAAAUAUCAAAAGAUCAAGUGUUUGGGUCAGGAAAAAAACAAAUACUCGGGAUAUCCUAGUAACAACAAAAUGAUAACAUGUCGAAGAAUUCUUCCAAUAAGGUUUCUUGUUUGACGAAUACUAGCCUCUUUUUAAAUCGUCCAUCAUAUCAAGCAUAAUUUUAUACAAAGUAUACAGAGAAAAAAAAUUAGCAACCACAGAAAAUCGUAAAACCAGUAUUUCAUAAUGUAUACAUUCAUAAGCAUUUUUCUAGAAGGAAACCAAACCAUC
RNAcentral lists this long non-coding RNA (1357 nucleotides) under Mytilus galloprovincialis (Mediterranean mussel). Lineage: Eukaryota; Metazoa; Mollusca; Bivalvia; Mytilida; Mytilidae. The record is from RNAcentral.